RNAcentral lists this long non-coding RNA (541 nucleotides) under Monodelphis domestica (gray short-tailed opossum). RNAcentral's name for it is "lncRNA (ENSMODG00000048215.1)". The record is from RNAcentral. Lineage: Eukaryota; Metazoa; Chordata; Mammalia; Didelphimorphia; Didelphidae.
CUUGCAGUCAUCUUCCAUAGCACUUGGACAUUUUGGUCAGCUCUUUGCUAUUAUUAUCAUUUUUCAAAAAUUUUAGGACUUACUGAAAAAGAAAAUGUAAGGAUCUAAAUACCAACGGCCUUUUCCACUGUUUUUCAGGAGAUGAGGAUGAUAACUUCAAAAACGAAUGAGGCAAGGAUCCAGGACAGCUCUCAGGGAGUUGUGAUGAGAAAGGCGAUACACAACCACAGAAGAAGCAGACAGGAUCCGAAAGCAGAUUGAAACAUACUAUUCUUUACUUUAUUUCCUCCAUGAAUUUUUCUCUAGUGUUCCUGCACUGCUGGCUUAACUGGAGACUCAGGAAGGGGACUGCCAGAGAAUGGAGGCCACUUGUACCGGUGGAGGAGGUGUGUGUGCGUGUUCUCUCCCAUGCUUAGAACACAGACCUGUAAGUCCACCAGCACAGGGAACUCUUGGUGUGGAAACUCCCUCCAGUGAUGCAGAUCAGCAACUCACUUAUAACUUCGAUUCUCCAAGAGUUGCCUGGAACACCGUGUGGUUA